Molecule: ribosomal RNA, 468 nt
Filed under: uncultured bacterium
Lineage: Bacteria
Description: partial 16S ribosomal RNA
Rfam family: Bacterial small subunit ribosomal RNA
Source: RNAcentral
GACGAACGCUGGCGGCGUGCUUAACACAUGCAAGUCGAACGGAAAGGCCCUGCUUUUGUGGGGUGCUCGAGUGGCGAACGGGUGAGUAACACGUGAGUAACCUGCCCUUGACUUUGGGAUAACUUCAGGAAACUGGGGCUAAUACCGGAUAGGAGCUCCUGCUGCAUGGGGGGGGUUGGAAAGUUUCGGCGGUUGGGGAUGGACUCGCGGCUUAUCAGCUUGUUGGUGGGGUAGUGGCUUACCAAGGCUUUGACGGGUAGCCGGCCUGAGAGGGUGACCGGCCACAUUGGGACUGGGAUACGGCCCAGACUCCUACGGGAGGCAGCAGUGGGGAAUAGUGCACAAUGGGCGGAAGCCUGAUGCAGCAACGCCGCGUGCGGGAUGACGGCCUUCGGGUUGUAAACCGCUUUCGCCUGUGACGAAGCGUGAGUGACGGUAAUGGGUAAAGAAGCACCGGCUAACUACGUG